UGAACGCUGGCGGCGUGCCUACUACAUGCACGUCGAGCGAACGGACGAGAAGCUUGCUUCUCUGAUGUUAGCGGCGGACGGGUGAGUAACACGUGGAUAACCUACCUAUAAGACUGGGAUAACUUCGGGAAACCGUAGCUAAUACCGGAUAAUAUUUUGAACCGCAUGGUUCACAAGUGAAAGACGGUCUUGCUGUCACUUAUAGAUUGAUCCGCGCUGCAUUAGCUAGUUGGUAAGGUAACGGCUUACCAAGGCAACGAUGCAUAGCCGACCUGAGAGGGUGAUCGGCCACACGGGAACUGAGACACGGUCCAGACUCCUACGGGAGGCAGCAGUAGGGAAUCUUCCGCAAUGGGCGAAAGCCUGACGGAGCAACGCCGCGUGAGUGAUGAAGGUCUUCGGAUCGUAAAACUAUGUUAUUAGGGAAGAACAUAUGUGUAAGUAACUGUGCACAUCUUGACGGUACCUAAUCAGAAAGCCACGGCUAACUACGUG
Molecule: ribosomal RNA, 495 nt
Filed under: uncultured bacterium
Lineage: Bacteria
Description: partial 16S ribosomal RNA
Rfam family: Bacterial small subunit ribosomal RNA
Source: RNAcentral